RNAcentral lists this ribosomal RNA (372 nucleotides) under uncultured prokaryote. RNAcentral describes it as "bacterial SSU rRNA". It matches the Rfam family "Bacterial small subunit ribosomal RNA", at positions 524 to 896 of the family's 1533-position model. The record is from RNAcentral.
UACGUAGGGUGCGAGCGUUAAUCGGAAUUACUGGGCGUAAAGCGUGCGCAGGCGGUUCCGCAAGUCAGAUGUGAAAUCCCCGGGCUUAACCUGGGAACUGCGUUUGAAACUACGGAGCUAGAGUACGGCAGAGGGGGGUGGAAUUCCACGUGUAGCAGUGAAAUGCGUAGAUAUGUGGAGGAACACCGAUGGCGAAGGCAGCCCCCUGGGCCGAUACUGACGCUCAGGCACGAAAGCGUGGGGAGCAAACAGGAUUAGAUACCCUGGUAGUCCACGCCCUAAACUAUGUCAACUAGUUGUCGGGGAAGCAAUUCCUUGGUAACGAAGCUAACGCGUGAAGUUGACCGCCUGGGGAGUACGGUCGCAAGAUUA